RNAcentral lists this long non-coding RNA (1189 nucleotides) under Sus scrofa (pig). RNAcentral describes it as "lncRNA (ENSSSCG00055027828.1)". Lineage: Eukaryota; Metazoa; Chordata; Mammalia; Artiodactyla; Suidae. The record is from RNAcentral.
UUUUGUAGCGCGGGGCCCGUGGGCAAGAGGCCCGGGAGACUGCGAUAGCAGAGGGGAAGUCGCCAAUGGCUACCUGGAUCGAGUCCCCUUUGUAUUUCGUUCACAUCACCCUUUUUUCUUCCACCGAGACACCGCAUCCUUUGGCUACCGUCGGUGGCGCGGUGGUGGGAGUGUAAGAGGAGGUCUGCUUCCGCUGCCACCAUUACCUGUUUCUUGGAUGGUUAAGCUUGAGUAAAGGAAACUUCUGGGAAGUGGCCAAAGACCCUUGACAUGCCCCCCGCAGAGGAAACAUCGCUGACGUCAUCUCUGCUUGUCCACUCUGUGCUUCAGUCAAGCCCAAGGCCAUCCCAGCGGCAAACUUUUGCUGCCCUCUCCCAGAAUGCCUGCUGAAACUGCCUCCUUGAGUCUGAAGGGGACCAGUGGAAACUUUGGGGGACAUAUUUUCGGGAGGCCAAGGCUCAAAUUGCCUGCCCAGGAACACAGUCAAGGAAGUGCUAUGGUCUAUUCUAGGCUUGUGGUCCAACACCAGAGACAGCUUCCUUGUAAACUCGAAGAGGUUGAUCAUGGGUCUAUUAUUUGCAUAGUGUAUCUUUGCAUCUGCAUUCACUUAAUAUCCAAAUGCUUAGAAAACUGCCAGCCAGUUUUGUGGCUCUAACAAGGCAGUGUCUUGUUCUUUGAAAGCCUCCGAGUAAAAACAGUUUAUAUGUGCUUUGGAAGUGCUUGUCUGAAAUCUAAAGUUAACCUCUGUUUGUAUUCACGUCUUCUGGAUUAGUUACAGUACCCUGAACACUGAGCAGAGGACAGAGGGAGUAGGGUUUUGUUUUUCUCAGUCUGGAAAAGCCCAUCCUUGCUCUGUCUGUAAGCAUAUCCUUCUGGGAGGAAAAUGUUAUCAGCAAUAUUCCGAUGACCUGGGAUGGGGCUGAGGAUCAGGAAGGGAGCCCAACAACCCGAGGAUCGUUUUUGUGUUUCUUUUGGUGUUAAAUUGCUGUCUUGUUGAUGGAGGAAGGUAAGAAGGGGUGGAGACCCGGCUCGGUGGAGUUGGGAGGAGCAUGGGCAGAGUCAUGUGGGCUUGGCUUCCUUUCCUUCGAUCUCGCUUACCCAGUGAGCUAGAGAGAAUUUGCAACCACCUUCAACUAGAGAACAAUCUGCAAGCCAAUCUGCCCUGGGCACUGCCUCCGGGAACUUACAC